UGCAAGUCGAGGGGCAUCAGGAAGAAAGCUUGCUUUCUUUGCUGGCGACCGGCGCACGGGUGAGUAACACGUAUCCAACCUGCCCUUUACUCGGGGAUAGCCUUUCGAAAGAAAGAUUAAUACCCGAUGGCAUAGUUCUUCCGCAUGGUGGAACUAUUAAAGAUUUAUCGGUGUACGAUGGGGAUGCGUUCCAUUAGGCAGUUGGCGGGGUAACGGCCCACCAAACCGACGAUGGAUAGGGGUUCUGAGAGGAAGGUCCCCACAUUGGUACUGAGACACGGACCAAACUCC
RNAcentral lists this ribosomal RNA (291 nucleotides) under uncultured Bacteroides sp. RNAcentral's name for it is "partial 16S ribosomal RNA". It matches the Rfam family "Bacterial small subunit ribosomal RNA", at positions 56 to 339 of the family's 1533-position model. The record is from RNAcentral. Lineage: Bacteria; Pseudomonadati; Bacteroidota; Bacteroidia; Bacteroidales; Bacteroidaceae.